CCCUUAGACGUUCUGGGCCGCACGCGCGCUACACUGACGAAGGCAACGAGCUUUCCUUUACCGAAAGGUACGGGUAAUCUUUUGAAACUUCGUCGUGCUGGGGAUAGAUCCUUGCAAUUAUUGAUCUUAAACGAGGAGUUCCUAGUAAGCGCAAGUCAUCAACUUGCGUUGAUUACGUCCCUGCCCUUUGUACACACCGCCCGUCGCUACUACCGAUUGAAUGGUUUAGUGAGGCCUUCGGAUCCGCGACUCGUUUUGUGGAGAAGUUGGACAAACUCAGUCAUUUAGAGGAAGUAAAAGUCGUAACA
This 308-nucleotide ribosomal RNA is filed under the name uncultured eukaryote. RNAcentral describes it as "partial 18S ribosomal RNA". It matches the Rfam family "Eukaryotic small subunit ribosomal RNA", at positions 1470 to 1796 of the family's 1831-position model. The record is from RNAcentral.